RNAcentral lists this ribosomal RNA (384 nucleotides) under Triticum aestivum (bread wheat). RNAcentral's name for it is "partial small subunit ribosomal RNA". Lineage: Eukaryota; Viridiplantae; Streptophyta; Magnoliopsida; Poales; Poaceae. The record is from RNAcentral.
AUGGCCGGCAAGAUCCAUCAUGGCUCCCCUGCAACAGCUAUUUUUCCAUAUGUAGUGGUUGCAAAAUAUCUACUAUCCCCAGUUUACCAACUAGUGCUAUUGACCUCUGCAACAAAACCUGAACCAUCUUCUCUUGAAUUCCUCCAGCCUAACACACCCGUGAGAUCGCCUGACUACGACAACGACGUGCAAGGGACCCUCACCAUGGGUGUCGCGGACGAGUACGUGGGCGCCGUCAUCGGCUAUGCCGGGAGGACCAUACGUGAGAUCGAACGGGUUACGGGCGUGCAGAUCAGUAUCUCUAAGGGGGAGCUCAAAGCUGGGACGAGCGAGAGGGAGGUGGUGACCAGUGGGACAUGGAGGCGGUCGAUGCGGCGGAGGUGA